Molecule: non-coding RNA, 3383 nt
Organism: Arachis ipaensis
Lineage: Eukaryota; Viridiplantae; Streptophyta; Magnoliopsida; Fabales; Fabaceae
Source: RefSeq, a predicted model, not a curated record
CCGAAUACCAGUAAAAAAUUAGCGACCGUUUUUGAAACUGCUGCGAAAUUGGCAAAAUCACAGCGGUUCUGGGCUACAAGUUGGCCUCUACUACAAAAUUGAUCAAGAUAGCGCCGGUUUAGAUGUGAACCGCUGCAAAUUAAUUUGUUGGACAUAUAUUCAAGAUGCUCAUCUUUAAUUUGCGAAUUCCCAUCUUCUCUUUUUCACGCGAACACAAAUGGGUGUAGAGGCGCGAAUCACACCCCUGCGAAUCCUUGCCGCCGUGUAGCUCCCUCCGUCAGUUUCAAUUGCUACAUCCUUUUCCUUGCUGAACAUAGGACAAAAGGAGUGAAACAAAAUCCAGUCCAUCAUAAAGAUGCACCGAUAUUGCUAUGAAGACUUGCUGUUGCAGCGCAUCCAGUUGUGGGUCGUUCUUAUUUGGAUUACCGUAAGUUAUAGAAUUAGAAAAAGAAACUGCCUCCAUCAAGACGGCGUGACCUCCAUUCUCUCCACUAAUUUGAGAAUCUCGCUGCCUCAGCCCUGCAAGAUCACUGACUGCCGUCUGCCUCUCUUCCCACCGCUUGUCGUUCGAACUGCGUCCAGGUGGUUUGCGGGGUCUUCGCGCUAGUGCAGCAAACCAGACCUGCAACAAGGAGUAUUUGCAGCCGGAAGACCUUCUUCCCAAUGGCCACAUCUCAAGACGAAUGCGUUUCAUGCGAGGGUCAUCCUUCAUGCACACCACCGGACAAAGAUACAUUAAUGGAGUGCGAUAUCGUUGAACCCCUAGGCUGUGAUAUGUCUGCCGUUGCAGUGGUUUCAUCAGACCAACCUCAAAACAUAUCCGGCGAUGUCAUCGUCGACGUUGAGAAGUCGAACAAGGCCAUGCAGCUGUCGGAUGUUACCGAGGUUGGAAGUGAAGAGAUGGAGCUUGGUGAUGAGUUACCAGACCAUGGUUGCCUACAAGAAGACAAGAUACCAAGAGUUGGAAUGCGGUUUGCUCAGUUACAGAUGGCUCAUGACUUUUAUGUUACCUAUGCAAAGAAAGUUGGAUUUGCAACUAAGAUAAGGACGACAACAUAUGACAAGAUCACAAAGGCUCCCGUUAACCAAGCUAUACACUGUAAUCGCGAUGGGUACCGCGAGUCUCAUGUUAAAGCACCAACGCGGAAGAAUAUGAUUUCAGCUGCUGGGUGCAAGGCAAGGAUAUAUGUCAAGUUUGAUAAAGACAUGCAAGACUGGGUUUUGUUCAAGGUUGACUUGACACACUCACAUCCCUGUUCAGUGAGAAAGGCAGUGCACUACCAUGAGUAUAGGCAGCUGACCAUGCAUGCGAAGUGCGUGAUCGAGGAUAAUGAUGAGGCUGUGAUUCGACCAAAUAAGACAUUCCUUGCUUUGUCAAAUGAGGCUGGAGGCCCCUCUAACUUAGGAUUCUCAGAGAAGGAUUUAAGAAACUAUAUAGCAGCAAGGCUCCGAACUAGCAAUGUGAAUGCGGAUGUCAGGGAGAUGAUGAGCUACUUCAUGAGAAUGAAGGACAUCAAUCCGAACUUCUUUUACGCGGUGAAGUUGGACGAGGAGUGUAAAUUUAAGAGUGCAGUAUGGGUGGAUGCAAGAUGUAGGGCAUCGUAUGAAUACCACAGAGAUGUUGUGUCAGUUGAUAGCACCUACAGUACAAACAGGCAUGGAUUACCGUUUGUGUCGUUCGUUAGGGUCAACUACCAUGGUAAGUCAACCCUCCUCGGUUGUGCUUUGCUGGGGAAUAAGGAAAUCACAAGUUAUGAGUGGGUUUUCAGCCAAUGGGUGAAGUGCAUGGGAUCUGCUCCACAGCGUAUCAUAACCGAUCAAUGUCGGUCCAUUUUCUAUGUGAUCAGGAAUACAUUACCCGACACACGCCACCGAUGGUGCAUCUGGCAUAUUACGAAGAAGUUACCGAGCAAGCUUGGUGGUUACCGCCGGUACAGAGCUUUGUAUGAUGACCUCAAUGACAUCGUGUGGGACUCUCGGACUGAGGAGUCAUUUGAGGAUAACUGAGCAUAAUUUAUAGAUGAGUACAAGUUACAUAACAACACAUGGCUGUUAGACCUGUAUGAUGACCGACGCAUGUGGGUUCCCAUAUACUACAAGGGUGAAUUUUGGGCAGCAAUGAGGAGUACGCAAAGGAGUGAGAGCAUGCACGCAUUCUACGGUGGAUACUUACACAGUAAAACUAGCUUGGUUCAAUUUGUUCACGAAUAUGACAAUGUGCUUGGAGUCAAGGAGCAGAGGGAAUUGGAGGAUGAUGCUGCAGACUCGAGGGGGGUUAUCCCUUGUGCAAUGAGCUUGCCUAUGGAGAAACAGUUUCAGCAAGAGUAUACGACGAGCAUGUUUAGGGAUGUUCAAAUUGAGUUUGUGAAGAAGGCUGACUGCAGAGUUUCUGUAGUUGAUGAAUAGGGUCCAUUGGUCUGCGUGAAGGUGGAAGAGGAGAAACUAGUCAAUGAUACUAUUCUAUGCGUUCCGUAUGAUGUUCACUUUGAUCGUUCCACACAAGAGGUUCGUUGUGAGUGCAAUCUUUUUGAGAGUUUAGGUGUGUUGUGCUAUCACUGUCUUGAAGUUUUCCAUUCGUAUAAAGUGUACAAAGUACCUUCCUGUUAUGUUCUCCCUCGAUAGAGCAAGAAAAUAAGGCGCAAGCAUACGUAUGUCAAAAGUAGCCAUGAUGUUAGUCGGUCGGAGACGAUGACGAAGCAGCAUUGCUGCAUGUUGCUUUGGAAGAAACAAGGGCCAAGUUGGCUGCGCACUGUACCAAGAAGAGGUCCGAGAGCGUGUCAGAGACCCACACCAAUAUUGGUUCACAGUGUUCGAACGUUGUCGGUGUUGAUGACAUCCAAGGCCCAUCGAAGGUCACCACAAAGGGCAGGCCAAAGAGUAAGAGGCUUGGCACUGUCCUAGAGAAGUCCUUCAAGAAUUCAACUCGGAGAAAACACAAGAAUUCAUCCUCGGUGGUUCGUCCGCACGCAUCUCAAGAUGUAAACCAUGGUGCUGUUGUUGGCUUGAAUGUUCCCGAACAAGCCGGUGGUUUCAUGUCUUUGUUAAGCUCCUUCAACAAAAAUUAGGAUUAGUUGGACAAGGUUGUGAUAGUGUUUACUUACUCAUCUCUAUGUAUAAAGGGUUCAAGUUAGUUUUAAGGUUUUAAGGUAGCUGUUGCAAAUGUCCAUAUGUUAUUAAUUGCAAGAACCCUUUUUAUUUCGUUUAGACUUAAUGCAUUAUGAGUAUAUUUGAUGGUUAUUUUGUAAUUUACGAGAUAGUUUAAUAAAAUUGUACUUGAUUUCUAAAUGCUUUACUGUAUAGUUUUUCGGUAUGUAGCCGUUCACGGUUUUGUAAUUUACUAAAGUGAAUGUUCAUUUCUAUAAGUGAUCAGAUGUUCAUUUUCA